GCGGCAGGCCUAACACAUGCAAGUCGAGCGGUAGCACAGAGAGCUUGCUCUCGGGUGACGAGCGGCGGACGGGUGAGUAAUGUCUGGGAAACUGCCUGAUGGAGGGGGAUAACUACUGGAAACGGUAGCUAAUACCGCAUAACGUCGCAAGACCAAAGUGGGGGACCUUCGGGCCUCAUGCCAUCAGAUGUGCCCAGAUGGGAUUAGCUAGUAGGUGGGGUAACGGCUCACCUAGGCGACGAUCCCUAGCUGGUCUGAGAGGAUGACCAGCCACACUGGAACUGAGACACGGUCCAGACUCCUACGGGAGGCAGCAGUGGGGAAUAUUGCACAAUGGGCGCAAGCCUGAUGCAGCCAUGCCGCGUGUGUGAAGAAGGCCUUCGGGUUGUAAAGCACUUUCAGCGGGGAGGAAGGCGUUAAGGUUAAUAACCUUGGCGAUUGACGUUACCCGCAGAAGAAGCACCGGCUAACUCCGUGCCAGCAGCCGCGGUAAUACGGAGGGUGCAAGCGUUAAUCGGAAUUACUGGGCGUAAAGCGCACGCAGGCGGUCUGUCAAGUCGGAUGUGAAAUCCCCGGGCUCAACCUGGGAACUGCAUUCGAAACUGGCAGGCUAGAGUCUUGUAGAGGGGGGUAGAAUUCCAGGUGUAGCGGUGAAAUGCGUAGAGAUCUGGAGGAAUACCGGUGGCGAAGGCGGCCCCCUGGACAAAGACUGACGCUCAGGUGCGAAAGCGUGGGGAGCAAACAGGAUUAGAUACCCUGGUAGUCCACGCCGUAAACGAUGUCGAUUUGGAGGUUGUGCCCUUGAGGCGUGGCUUCCGGAGCUAACGCGUUAAAUCGACCGCCUGGGGAGUACGGCCGCAAGGUUAAAACUCAAAUGAAUUGACGGGGGCCCGCACAAGCGGUGGAGCAUGUGGUUUAAUUCGAUGCAACGCGAAGAACCUUACCUGGUCUUGACAUCCACAGAACUUUCCAGAGAUGGAUUGGUGCCUUCGGGAACUGUGAGACAGGUGCUGCAUGGCUGUCGUCAGCUCGUGUUGUGAAAUGUUGGGUUAAGUCCCGCAACGAGCGCAACCCUUAUCCUUUGUUGCCAGCGGUUAGGCCGGGAACUCAAAGGAGACUGCCAGUGAUAAACUGGAGGAAGGUGGGGAUGACGUCAAGUCAUCAUGGCCCUUACGACCAGGGCUACACACGUGCUACAAUGGCAUAUACAAAGAGAAGCGACCUCGCGAGAGCAAGCGGACCUCAUAAAGUAUGUCGUAGUCCGGAUUGGAGUCUGCAACUCGACUCCAUGAAGUCGGAAUCGCUAGUAAUCGUAGAUCAGAAUGCUACGGUGAAUACGUUCCCGGGCCUUGUACACACCGCCCGUCACACCAUGGGAGUGGGUUGCAAAAGAAGUAGGUAGCUUAACCUUCGGGAGGGCGCUUACCACUUUGUGAUUCAUGACUGGGGUG
This 1451-nucleotide ribosomal RNA is filed under the name uncultured organism. RNAcentral's name for it is "SSU rRNA". It matches the Rfam family "Bacterial small subunit ribosomal RNA". The record is from RNAcentral.